RNAcentral lists this non-coding RNA (940 nucleotides) under Gambelia wislizenii (Longnose leopard lizard). Its description in RNAcentral is "12S rRNA". It matches the Rfam family "Bacterial small subunit ribosomal RNA". The record is from RNAcentral. Lineage: Eukaryota; Metazoa; Chordata; Lepidosauria; Squamata; Crotaphytidae.
CAAAGCUUUGGUCCUAAGCUUACUGCUAUUUAUAAUCAAAAUUACACAUGCAAACAUCCGUACACCAGUGAAAAUGCCCAUUAAUAAACCACGGAGCAGGUAUCAGGCACGGCCAGCCAGCCCAAAACACCUUGCUUUGCCACACCCACACGGGUAAUCAGCAGUGAUUAACAUUAAGCCAUGAGCAAACAUCGACAAACUCGACUUAGUUAUGAUUAAUAGGGCCGGUAAAUCUCGUGCCAGCCGCCGCGGUUAUACGAGAGGUCCAAAAUAGCAGACAUCGGCGUAAAUCGUGACUAGAACCAUUCCCAAAACAUAAGAAAUAAACUAAGGCCUAACCGUAAAACACAGGCCUAACGAACACAACAAAUUCUUAUACAAAGGAAGUUUGACCCACGAAAACUAAGAAACAAACUAGGAUUAGAUACCCUAUUAUGCUUAGUAGUAAAUAAGGCACCCACACUACCAAGAUGCCCGCCAGAAAAUUACGAGCGAAAAGCUUAAAACUCAAAGGACUUGGCGGUGCUCCACACCCGAUUUAGAGGAGCCUGUCCUGUAAUCGAUACCCCACGCUACACCUCACCACUCUUUGCCCCCAGCCUAUAUACCGCCGUCGCAAACUUACCCCAUGAGGGUAAAACAGUAAGUACAAUAGUUAUAUGACUAAAACGUCAGGUCAAGGUGUAGCUCAUAGAGUGGCAGAGAUGGGCUACAUUUUUUAUUACAAAACAAACGGCAAGAAGCCGUGAAAUCGGCUUCCAAAGGAGGAUUUAAUAGUAAGACAGACAAGAAAAUCUGUCUUAAACUCGCUCUGGAGCGCGCACACACCGCCCGUCACCCUCCUCUAAUAACGUUAAACAACAUUCAUAAUGCACACAAAACACACAAGAUGAGGUAAGUCGUAACAUGGUAAGUGUACUGGAAAGUGCACUUGGAAUAA